AUGAUGUUUCCAACAUUGCUCAUGAGGAGACCCCCAGUUUCCUCAUACAUUUUAGGAGAUUUUGAUCACUCCCAUCCAUUGCAUGAUCCUCAUACUUAUCUGCACAAUAUGCUUCCCAUGAAUAAACAUACUAUUGAUGUGCCAUAUACUUGUAUGCUCAAUUUGCAUCCUCAUCAUGUUAUACACAAUAACUAUUCUUUCAUGAUGGAUGACAUGUUCUUAUACCAUGCAUCAAAUUUCUUUGAGGGAUGCUUAUCUUAUGCUAACUCACACGUACACAUACACAUCAUGAUGGAUGAUGUGUACAUUUACCACACACACAAUUUCUUUCGUUUGUGUUUCUUUUGUGUAGGUACCCAUGAAUACUUGUUAACCUCGCAAUCCCAUGAGUUGACAAAACGAGUUCUAGAGAGCAACGAUGACUUGGGAUCCCAUGGAUUGCAUUUCCCACCGCUCUCUUCGUGCAAAGACUUCACACAUUUCUUCUACAUGACCCUCACUUGGCUAUGGGUUAUUGUCCAUUACAUAUUCUAUGCCCAUCUUGCCAUGUUCACUUUGCAUGAUAUGAUCAUUACUAUGCUUUUGCCAUGCAUUCGUGACUCAUGCUUUGCAUUACACAUGAUGAUAGAUUCUCAUACUUGUAUGUGUAUUUGCAAGCUUGGUGGAGAUAUUGCUUGUUAUUGCCAUGUUUUCUUUGUGCCCCAUGCAUAUGAUGAUACUUUCAUUUUGCUUUGUGUUCGUGCUUGCGAUAUGUCAUGUGCAUUGUCUAUGUCUAUUAUUUGCUCACAUGACAUGAUUGCCAUGAUUUCCUCUAGUAUGUUUCAUCUUCACACUACUAGCUUGCACGACUUGAUUACCAUGCUUGACUUGAUUGCCUCACACAUGAUGAAAAAUUGCUCUUUCUAUUGUGUUGAGUGA
Molecule: ribosomal RNA, 918 nt
Filed under: Triticum aestivum (bread wheat)
Lineage: Eukaryota; Viridiplantae; Streptophyta; Magnoliopsida; Poales; Poaceae
Description: partial small subunit ribosomal RNA
Source: RNAcentral